AGCAGCCGCGGUAAUUCCAGCUCCAAUAGCGUAUAUUAAAGUUGCUGCAGUUAAAAAGCUCGUAGUUGAAUUUCGGGAUCAAUAUGUUGGUCGUGCCUCGGUACGUACUAGCUUAUUGGUUUCUUCCUUCUGACGAACCAUAAUGUCAUUUAUUUGGUGUUAUGGGGAAUCAGGACUGUUACUUUGAAAAAUUAGAGUGUUUAAAGCAGGCUCACGCUUGAAUACAUUAGCAUGGAAUAAUGAAAUAGGACGUUUGAUUCUAUUUUGUUGGUUUCUAGGAUCGACGUAAUGAUUAAUAGGGAUAGUUGGGGGCAUUAGUAUUCAAUUGUCAGAGGUGAAAUUCUUGGAUUUAUUGAAGACUAACUACUGCGAAAGCAUUUGCCAAGGAUGUUUUCAUUAAUCAAGAACGAAAGUUAGGGGAUCGAAGACGAAUCAGAUACCGUCGUAGUCUUAACCAUAAACUAUGCCGACUAGGGAUCGGAUGAUGUUAAUUUUUAAUGUACUCA
This 506-nucleotide ribosomal RNA is filed under the name uncultured Glomus. RNAcentral describes it as "SSU rRNA". It matches the Rfam family "Eukaryotic small subunit ribosomal RNA", at positions 569 to 1078 of the family's 1831-position model. Lineage: Eukaryota; Fungi; Glomeromycota; Glomeromycetes; Glomerales; Glomeraceae. The record is from RNAcentral.